AUUGAACGCUAGCGGCAGGCCUAACACAUGCAAGUCGAACGAGUGGCGGACGGGUGAGUAAUGUCUGGGAAACUGACUGAGGGAGGGGGAUAACUACUGGAAACGGUAGCUAAUACCGCAUACCAUCGGAUGUGCCCAGAUGGGAUUAGCUAGUAGGUGGGGGAAAGGCUCACCUAGGCGACGAUCCCUAGCUGGUCUGAGAGGAUGACCAGCCACACUGGUACUGAGACACGGUCCAGACUCCGACGGGAGGCAGCAGUGGGGAAUAUUGCACAAUGGGCGUAAGCCUGAUGCAGCCAUGCCGCGUGUAUGAUGAAGGCCUUCGGGUUGUAAAGUACUUUCAGCCGGGAGGCGUUACCCGCAGAAUAAGCACCGGCUAACUCCGUGCCAGCAGCCGCGGUAAUAC
Molecule: ribosomal RNA, 406 nt
Filed under: uncultured bacterium
Lineage: Bacteria
Description: partial 16S ribosomal RNA
Rfam family: Bacterial small subunit ribosomal RNA
Source: RNAcentral